UUCUAAAAUACAUUUUUACAUAAAAAUGACUCACAAACACCCUCUUAAUUAAAGAAUAUAUUAAUUACGAGUCGCUGUUCCAACAUAUGAGAUAUUGAUAAUUAUAGAUAUAUGUUCAAACCGUCCUAGUCUUUAUAUUAAAAAACAAAUAAAAUCAACAUUGGAUCCUGAGAAACAAUUAAUGCAGGCAAAUUAUUAUAAUGUAGGCCCAAGAAAUAUUUCAAUUUGAAUUUGGGAAAUGACGCCAAUGCAAUCGUAACUUGGUUGAAUUUGACCGUGCCUAUAAUUAAAAUUGUAAUCCACCGUUAGAAGCAGUAUUUUGAAAAUCGGACUGAACUGAUCGGUUAAACCAAAAAAAUUGAGAACCGGCCUAACUCCCGGUCCGGUCUUGAUAUAUUAACCAAAAAAUGAAAAAUCGGUAAGUAACCGUACGGGCCCAAUAGGAUUCACAAGCCCACAAUAACACUUCCCCCGUGGCUGUUGCUUUUUUAAAGUUGAAGAUUCAUUUACAAC
This 513-nucleotide long non-coding RNA is filed under the name Olea europaea (common olive). RNAcentral describes it as "long non-coding RNA (OEUR_LNC002699)". The record is from RNAcentral. Lineage: Eukaryota; Viridiplantae; Streptophyta; Magnoliopsida; Lamiales; Oleaceae.